RNAcentral lists this transfer RNA (73 nucleotides) under Paramuricea clavata. It matches the Rfam family "tRNA". Rfam says of the family: Transfer RNA (tRNA) molecules are approximately 80 nucleotides in length. Their secondary structure includes four short double-helical elements and three loops (D, anti-codon, and T loops). The record is from Rfam by way of RNAcentral. Lineage: Eukaryota; Metazoa; Cnidaria; Anthozoa; Malacalcyonacea; Plexauridae.
GACCGCGUAGCUCAGUUGGAAGAGCAUUGGGCUAGUAUUCCAAAGGUCGUAGGUUCGAAUCCUGCCGUGGCCG